This 482-nucleotide ribosomal RNA is filed under the name uncultured bacterium. RNAcentral's name for it is "partial 16S ribosomal RNA". It matches the Rfam family "Bacterial small subunit ribosomal RNA", at positions 28 to 523 of the family's 1533-position model. The record is from RNAcentral.
AAUGAACGUUGGCGGCGUGGAUUAGGCAUGCAAGUCGAGCGCGAGGUUCUUUCGGGAACCAAAAGCGGCGAAAGGGAGAGUAACGCGUGGGAACCUGCCCCUGGGUCCGGAAUAGCUACGGGAAACUGUAGGUAAUGCCGGAUAAUGUCCCUGGACCAAAGGUGUGAUUCCACCUGGGGAUGGGCCCGCGUCCUAUUAGCUAGUUGGUGAGGUAACGGCUCACCAAGGCAAAGAUGGGUACCGGGUGUGAGAGCACGACCCGGCUCACUGGGACUGAGACACUGCCCAGACACCUACGGGUGGCUGCAGUCGAGAAUCUUCGGCAAUGGGCGCAAGCCUGACCGAGCGACGCCGCGUGCGGGAUGAAGGCCUUCGGGUUGUAAACCGCUGUCGGAGGGGAUGAAAUGCCAGGGAGUUAUCUCUUUGGUUUGACAGAUCCUAGGAGGAAGUACGGGCUAAGUUCGUGCCAGCCGCCGCGGUAA